Molecule: unclassified non-coding RNA, 345 nt
Filed under: soil metagenome
Description: partial contains 5.8S ribosomal RNA, internal transcribed spacer 2, and large subunit ribosomal RNA
Rfam family: 5.8S ribosomal RNA (bases 1-119)
Source: RNAcentral
GAUGAAGAACGCAGCGAAAUGCGAUACGUAAUGUGAAUUGCAAAUUCAGUGAAUCAUCGAGUCUUUGAACGCACAUUGCGCCCCCUGGUAUUCCGGGGGGCAUGCCUGUCCGAGCGUCAUUGCUGCCCUCAAGCACGGCUUGUGUGUUGGGCCCCGUCCUCCGAUCCCGGGGGACGGGCCCGAUAGGCAGCGGCGGCACCGCGUCCGGUCCUCGAGCGUAUGGGGCUUUGUCACCCGCUCUGUAGGCCCGGCCGGCGCUUGCCGAUCAACCCAAAUUUUUAUCCAGGUUGACCUCGGAUCAGGUAGGGAUACCCGCUGAACUUAAGCAUAUCAAUAAGCGGAGGA